This 653-nucleotide ribosomal RNA is filed under the name uncultured cyanobacterium. RNAcentral's name for it is "bacterial SSU rRNA". It matches the Rfam family "Bacterial small subunit ribosomal RNA", at positions 118 to 804 of the family's 1533-position model. Lineage: Bacteria; Bacillati; Cyanobacteriota. The record is from RNAcentral.
UGAGAAUCUGGCUUUAGGUUCGGGACAACAGUGGGAAACUGCUGCUAAUACCGAAUGUGCAGAAAUGUGAAAGAUUAAUUGCCUGAAGAUGAGCUCGCGUCUGAUUAGCUAGUUGGUGAGGUAAAGGCUCACCAAGGCGACGAUCAGUAACUGGUCUGAGAGGAUGACCAGUCACACUGGGACUGAGACACGGCCCAGACUCCUACGGGAGGCAGCAGUGGGGAAUUUUCCGCAAUGGGCGAAAGCCUGACGGAGCAAUACCGCGUGAGGGAGGAAGGCUCUUGGGUUGUAAACCUCUUUUCUCAGGGAAGAAAAAAAUGACGGUACCUGAGGAAUAAGCAUCGGCUAACUCCGUGCCAGCAGCCGCGGUAAUACGGAGGAUGCAAGCGUUAUCCGGAAUUAUUGGGCGUAAAGCGUCCGCAGGUGGCAAUUCAAGUCUGCUGUCAAAGGUUCUGGCUUAACCAGAAACAGGCAGUGGAAACUGAAUAGCUAGAGUGCGGUAGGGGCAGAGGGAAUUCCCGGUGUAGCGGUGAAAUGCGUAGAGCUCGGGAAGAACAUCGGUGGCGAAAGCGCUCUGCUGGACUGCAACUGACACUCAGGGACGAAAGCUAGGGGAGCGAAUGGGAUUAGAUACCCCAGUAGUCCUAGCCGUA